RNAcentral lists this ribosomal RNA (254 nucleotides) under uncultured bacterium. RNAcentral describes it as "partial 16S ribosomal RNA". It matches the Rfam family "Bacterial small subunit ribosomal RNA", at positions 524 to 776 of the family's 1533-position model. The record is from RNAcentral.
UACGUAGGGGGCGAGCGUUGUCCGGAUUUAUUGGGCGUAAAGAGCUCGUAGGCGGUUUGGCAAGUUGGGUGUGAAAACUCCGGGCUCAACUCGGAGACGCCACUCAAUACUGUCAUGACUCGAGUCCGGUAGGGGAGUGCGGAAUUCCUGGUGUAGCGGUGAAAUGCGCAGAUAUCAGGAGGAACACCGGUGGCGAAGGCGGCACUCUGGGCCGGUACUGACGCUGAGGAGCGAAAGCGUGGGGAGCGAACAGG